This 440-nucleotide ribosomal RNA is filed under the name uncultured bacterium. RNAcentral describes it as "partial 16S ribosomal RNA". It matches the Rfam family "Bacterial small subunit ribosomal RNA", at positions 338 to 795 of the family's 1533-position model. The record is from RNAcentral.
CCUACGGGAUGCUGCAGUGGGGAAUAUUGCACAAUGGGGGAAACCCUGAUGCAGCGACGCCGCGUGAGUGAAGAAGUAUUUCGGUACGUAAAGCUCUAUCAGCAGGGAAGAAAAUGACGGUACCUGACUAAGAAGCCCCGGCUAACUACGUGCCAGCAGCCGCGGUAAUACGUAGGGGGCAAGCGUUAUACGGAUUUACUGGGUGUAAAGGGAGCGUAGACGGCAGUGCAAGUCUGGAGUGAAAUCCCAUGGCUUAACCAUGGAACUGCUUUGGAAACUGUGCAGCUAGAGUGCAGGAGAGGUAAGCGGAAUUCCUAGUGUAGCGGUGAAAUGCGUAGAUAUUAGGAGGAACACCAGUGGCGAAGGCGGCUUACUGGACUGUAACUGACGUUGAGGCUCGAAAGCGUGGGGAGCAAACAGGAUUAGAUACCCGUGUAGUC